GAUGAAGAACUUAGCGAAAUGCGAUACGUAAUGUGAAUUGCAGAAUUCAGUGAAUCAUCGAGUCUUUGAACGCACAUUGCGCCCCCUGGUAUUCCGGGGGGCAUGCCUGUCCGAGCGUCAUUGCUGCCUCAAGCACGGCUUGUGUGUUGGGCCUCCGUCCUCCUCCCGGGGGACGGGCCCGAAAGGCAGCGGCGGCACCGCGUCCGGUCCUCGAGCGUAUGGGGCUUCGUCACCCGCUCUUGUAGGCCCGGCCGGCGCUUGCCGACACAUCAAUCUUUUUUCCAGGUUGACCUCGGAUCAGGUAGGGAUACCCGCUGAACUUAAGCAUAUCAAUAAGCGGAGGA
RNAcentral lists this unclassified non-coding RNA (344 nucleotides) under soil metagenome. Its description in RNAcentral is "partial contains 5.8S ribosomal RNA, internal transcribed spacer 2, and large subunit ribosomal RNA". The stretch from base 1 to 120 matches the Rfam family "5.8S ribosomal RNA", at positions 35 to 154 of the family's 154-position model. The record is from RNAcentral.